This 157-nucleotide non-coding RNA is filed under the name Hyphomicrobiales bacterium. RNAcentral's name for it is "6S RNA". It matches the Rfam family "6S / SsrS RNA". From Rfam's summary of the family: E. coli 6S RNA was the first non coding RNA to be sequenced, but its function was unknown until recently. Lineage: Bacteria; Pseudomonadati; Pseudomonadota; Alphaproteobacteria; Hyphomicrobiales. The record is from RNAcentral.
GCGGGGCUGCGCGGUGCGUGAGAACUUGUAUCCCCGGGCCCUUAUCGAUCCGAACGGGAGCUGUCCCUGACCGGGUCCCUGGACCCGGACAUAUGGCGCCCACCUACGUUGUAGGUGUCCCGGGAUCGAAUGGUUCGACGGCCGAGGCGGCUCCGCU